RNAcentral lists this ribosomal RNA (322 nucleotides) under uncultured eukaryote. RNAcentral's name for it is "partial 18S ribosomal RNA". It matches the Rfam family "Eukaryotic small subunit ribosomal RNA", at positions 1470 to 1796 of the family's 1831-position model. The record is from RNAcentral.
CCCUUAGAUGUUCUGGGCUGCACGCGCGCUACACUGACACACUCAGCGAGUCUCCUGGCCCGAGAGGGUUGGGUAAUCAUGUGAGCGUGUGUCGUGAUGGGGAUAGAAUAUUGUAAUUAUUGCUCUUCAACGAGGAAUUCCUAGUAAGCGCGAGUCAGCAGCUCGCGCUGAUUACGUCCCUGCCCUUUGUACACACCGCCCGUCGCUCCUACCGAUGGGGUGAUCCGGUGAAUAAUUCGGACUGCAGCACUGCUUGGUCUCCAGGCUUUGCAGCGGAAAGUUUAGUGAACCUUAUCACUUAGAGGAAGGAGAAGUCGUAACA